This 429-nucleotide ribosomal RNA is filed under the name uncultured bacterium. Its description in RNAcentral is "bacterial SSU rRNA". It matches the Rfam family "Bacterial small subunit ribosomal RNA", at positions 354 to 796 of the family's 1533-position model. The record is from RNAcentral.
GUGGGGAAUAUUGCACAAUGGGCGCAAGCCUGAUGCAGCAACGCCGCGUGAGGGAUGACGGCCUUCGGGUUGUAAACCUCUUUUAGUAGGGAAGAAGCGAAAGUGACGGUACCUGCAGAAAAAGCACCGGCUAACUACGUGCCAGCAGCCGCGGUAAUACGUAGGGUGCAAGCGUUGUCCGGAAUUAUUGGGCGUAAAGAGCUCGUAGGCGGCUUGUCGCGUCUGCUGUGAAAUCCCGGGGCUCAACCCCGGGCCUGCAGUGGGUACGGGCAGGCUAGAGUGCGGUAGGGGAGAUUGGAAUUCCUGGUGUAGCGGUGGAAUGCGCAGAUAUCAGGAGGAACACCGAUGGCGAAGGCAGAUCUCUGGGCCGCUACUGACGCUGAGGAGCGAAAGCAUGGGGAGCGAACAGGAUUAGAAACCCGGUAGUCC